Molecule: long non-coding RNA, 314 nt
Filed under: Vitis vinifera (wine grape)
Lineage: Eukaryota; Viridiplantae; Streptophyta; Magnoliopsida; Vitales; Vitaceae
Description: long non-coding RNA (VVIN_LNC005899)
Source: RNAcentral
UUGCAAUAGCCCUGCAAGAGCAAGAGAGGAGGGCCUUCACAACUCUCCUCCCUACGAUAUUCCAAACCAACAGUGAUGAGCUCGAAAGCGAUUCCUCAGAUGAAACCGACGAUGACGAGGACGAGGACAGCGAUGAUGACAGCCAUGACUUCUUCCCCAACAGCCAUGAAACGGAAGAGGGGCUAGAGUUCUUGGAGGGAGAAGGCAGCAACAGCGAUCAAGACAUGGAGGAGGACGACAUCGACCCGGACCAACUUUCUUACGAGGAGUUGAUUGCCUUAGGAGAGAUUGUUGGAGAAGAGAGUAGAGGAUUA